AACAAACAAAUUUUCUUAGGAAACAUAUAUAAACCUACAAUUACUAUAUACUAUAAAUGACACAGUGUUACAAAUUUAUAUGAUUUUAAGUAAGACUAUAGGCUAGCUAGUAAGAACGUAUCCAGUUUGAAGAGUUUUAGUGUGCUAUAACCGCAUAAUUAACUUAACAAAAAGAUGUUACAAAAAAAAACGUAACAAAAAGAUAUCUAACUUAAAAAAAAGGAAAAAGUUACUGAUAUACAUAUAUAUAUAUAUAUAUAUAUAUAUAUAUAUAUAUAUAAAGGUGUACAUUACUGAAAGCCUUUUUCAAAAGACAAAAAUACAUAUGUGUGGUGACUGGUUGAAUUUUAUCUUACUUCUUUAAUUUUAUUUAUUUUAAAAUUUAUUAAAUCUUACACUUUGUUGUGCCUUUAGAU
This 416-nucleotide long non-coding RNA is filed under the name Brassica rapa (field mustard). Its description in RNAcentral is "long non-coding RNA (BRAP_LNC005444)". Lineage: Eukaryota; Viridiplantae; Streptophyta; Magnoliopsida; Brassicales; Brassicaceae. The record is from RNAcentral.